GAGCAAUGAUGAGAAAGUUUACUACUGACCUAGAUAACCCUGAAGGUUUUCGACACUUGACCUGAGCUCA
Molecule: small nucleolar RNA, 70 nt
Filed under: Echinops telfairi (small Madagascar hedgehog)
Lineage: Eukaryota; Metazoa; Chordata; Mammalia; Afrosoricida; Tenrecidae
Description: Small nucleolar RNA U2-30 (ENSETEG00000023177.1)
Rfam family: Small nucleolar RNA U2-30
About the family: U2-30 is a member of the C/D class of snoRNA which contain the C (UGAUGA) and D (CUGA) box motifs.
Source: RNAcentral